RNAcentral lists this ribosomal RNA (3858 nucleotides) under Chloroflexi bacterium HGW-Chloroflexi-1. Its description in RNAcentral is "23S ribosomal RNA". It matches the Rfam family "Bacterial large subunit ribosomal RNA". Lineage: Bacteria; Bacillati; Chloroflexota. The record is from RNAcentral.
AUUAAGCUACUAAGAGCAUACGGUGGAUGCCUUGGCGUCAAGAGCCGAAGAAGGGCGUGGAUGGCUGCGAAAAGCCUCGGGGAGCUGUCAUCAAGCAUUGAUCCGGGGAUACCCGAAUGGGGGAACCCACCUGGGCAAUACCCAGGUACCGCUGGCUGAACACAUAGGCCAGACGGGGGGCACGGGGGGAACUGAAACAUCUAAGUACCCCCAGGAAAAGAGAUUAUUCCCUGAGUAGUGGCGAGCGAAAGGGGAACAGCCUAAACUCAUCCUGUGUGAUAGGCAGCAGCCGUUGCAGGGUGGGGGUUGUAAGGCUCAACGGGGUCCGCUGCUGCGGAUCCGAGGAGUUACAAAACUAGUCUCUAGCCGAAUGUGGACUGGAAAGCCCAGGCAAAGAGAGUGACACCCUCGUAGGUGAAAGGGACUAGACUCCUGUUGAUGACCUUGAGUACCACGGGGCACGCUAAUCCUGUGGGAAGCCGGGAGGCCCACCUCCCAAGGCUAAAUACUCUUGACGACCGAUAGUGAACAAGUACCGUGAGGGAAAGGUGAAAAGCACCCCGGUGAGGGGAGUCAAAAGAACCUGAAACCGUAUGCUUACAAGCAGUCGAAGGACAAUGUCCCUGAGGGGAUAGGUCUGACGGCGUGCCUCUUGGAGAAUGAGCCGGCGAGUUACUCUUUGUGGCAAGGUUAAGCCAGUGACAGGCGGAGCCGCAGCGAAAGCGAGUCUGAAUAGGGCGUGAGUCGAGCUUGCUCGACCAUAGUCGCAAGGAGUAGACCCGAAACCGGGUGAGCUACCCAUGGCCAGGCUGAAGCGGGAGUAAUGUCUCGUGGAGGGCCGAACCCACUAAUAUUGCAAAAUUAGGGGAUGAGCUGUGGGUAGGGGUGAUAUGCCAAACGAACCCGGAGAUAGCUGGUUCUCCCCGAAAUAGCUCUAGGGCUAGCGUCAUGUGUUCAGUAUCGGAGGUAGAGCACUGGAUCGGCUAGGGGGCGUAUAGCUUACCGAACCGAACCAAACUCCGAAUGCCGAUACUCCAAGCAUGGCAGUCGGACGGUGGGAGAUGAGUUUCAUCGUCGAAAGGGAAACAGCCCAGAUCGUCAGCUAAGGUCCUUAAGUGCAGGCUAAGUGGGAAAGGAUGUGGAGUUACUGGGACAGCCAGGAGGUUGGCUUAGAAGCAGCCAUCCUUUAAAGAGUGCGUAAUAGCUCACUGGUCUAGUGAUUCUGCGCCGAAAAUAUAUCGGGGCUCAAGCCUGCCACCGAAGCUACGAAAGGUUGGGAUCGGUAAAUUGGGAAUUGGUAGAUUGGUCACCAAUCUACUCGCUACCAAUUUACCAAGUUACCAGCCUUGGUAGGGGAGCGUUCUGUCAGCGUCGAAGCCGGACUGUGAGGACCGGUGGAGCGGGCAGAAGUGAGAAUGCCGGCAUGAGUAGCGUAAUACAUGUGAGAACCAUGUACCCCGUAAGUCUAAGGUUUCCGACGGAAGGUUAAUCCGCGUCGGGUUAGUCGGGCCUAAGCCGAGGCCGCAAGGCGUAGGCGAUGGACAACAGGUUAAUAUUCCUGUACCACCUGGAUGGAGUGAUGGGGGGACGCAGGAGGGUAGGUCAGCCUCUUAUUGGAUUGAGGUGCCAAGCCCGUAGGGAGAUGAGGGUCCCAGGAAAAUCCGGGGUCUGAUCCUGAGGGGUGGGCGGUGCUUUUCGGAGCCACAAGUGACUGAGCCCAUACUGCCAAGAAAAGCCUCUAAGCGUUGAAGUCUGGGUGUCCGUACCGAAACCGACACUGGUGGACGGGUAGAGAAUACCAAGGGGAUCGGGAGAACCUUCGUUAAGGAAUUAGGCAAAUUGGAUCCGUAACUUCGGGAGAAGGAUCGCCACGGUAGGGUAAGGUUGACAAGCUUAGCCGAGCCCGAAGUGGCCGCAGAGAAGUGGCCCUACCGACUGUUUACCAAAAUCACAGGUCUCUGCAAACGCGCAAGCGGAUGUAUAGGGGCUGACGCCUGCCCAGUGCCGGAAGGUUAAAGGGAGAGGUCAGGGUCACCUUCGGGUGGCUCGAAGCUUUGAACUGAAGCCCCGGUGAACGGCGGCCGUAACUAUAGACUGGACCGCUGUAGUUACGCAAAUAAACUCAGCCAUAUGCUGGGAACUCCGGGGUAUCCUCUGGUACUCGCUCCACACAGGGAGCAGUGACAACCCAGAGGUGCGGACGAUCAGCAGGAAAGGCUUCACAGGAAGUGGGAAAUGGAUUUGAACGUCAAUCAGGUCCCACCAGAUAUCGGUCACUACCUGGCUGGUUUCGCAGAUGGCGAAGGAAGUUUUAACGUCGUGUUUCGACAACGCGACGACUACCGGAUGCCGUGGAAGGUCUCGCUGUGUUUCAAUGUCUCGCAGAGAGACGAAGUGAUUCUCAGCUUGUUCAAACGGCAUUUGGGGUGUGGCACGAUGCGACAAAGGCAGGAUGGGGUGUGGUACUACGAGGUGAAUAACCAACGCGCCAUCCUGGAGAAUGUGAUACCGUUCUUUGAGCGGUUCAGGUUCUUGUCAGCUAAGAAGAAGCGCGACUUCGCCAAGUUCAAGAAGAUAGCUCGGCUGAUCGCGGAUGAACAACAUCUGGAUCAGGCGGGUAUCCGACAGAUACUGGAGAUCAGAGCGGAUAUGAACGAUGGGGGGGCCGGACGAAGGAAGUACUCGGAUGAGGACAUCCUGAGUCAGUUUUCCAGUGAAGAAUCCUCAGAGACCAUACGCUGAGCAUUUCCUGAGCGAUGUAAGGUGCCGCCAGUCUCAGGAGAUGAUGAGAUGGUCCGAUCUUCGUGGCGACACGAAGGGUCUACCAAAUGGUAGACUGCACUGACCAGGAAGCCGAUGGUCGGUGAAACAUGAUGAACGGUCCUAAGGUAGCGAAAUUCCUUGUCGGGUAAGUUCCGACCCGCACGAAUGGCGUAACGAGUGGGGCACUGUCUCGACGAAGGACCCGGUGAAAUUGAAAUAGGCGUGAAGAUGCGUCUUACCCGCAGCAGGACAAAAAGACCCCGUGGAGCUUUACUGCAGCCUGGUAUUGUGUUAGGGCUGGAUCUGUGUAGGAUAGCUGGGAGACUGGGAAGCUGGGGCGCUAGCCUCGGUGGAGUCGCCGUUGGAAUACCAGCCUGAUUCAGUUUUGACCCUAACCUGCGUCCGUGAUCCGGCGUGGGGACAGUGCCAGGUGGGCAGUUUGACUGGGGCGGUCGCCUCAUAAAGAGUAACUGAGGCGCCCAAAGGUUCCCUCAGGCUGAAUGGAAACCAGCCGUAGAGUGUAAAGGCAUAAGGGAGCUUGACUGCAAGACCAACAAGUCGAGCAGAGACGAAAGUCGGGCUUAGUGAUCCCACGGUUCCGAGUGGAAGGGCCGUGGCUUAACGGACAAAAGCUACCCCGGGGAUAACAGGCUGGUGGCGCCCAAGAGUUCAUAUCGACGGCGCCGCUCGGCACCUCGAUGUCGGCUCGUCGCAUCCUGGGGCUGUAGUAGGUCCCAAGGGUUGGGCUGUUCGCCCAUUAAAGCGGUACGCGAGCUGGGUUCAGACCGUCGUGAGACAGGUCGGUCUCUAUCCGCUGUGGGCGUAGGGGAUUUGCGAGGAGCUGCUCCUAGUACGAGAGGACCGGAGUGGACCGACCGCUGGUGUGCCAGUUGUGGUGCCAACCGCAUUGCUGGGUAGCUAAGUCGGGCAGGGAUAACCGCUGAAAGCAUCUAAGUGGGAAGCUCGCCUCAAGAUAAGAUCCCCCAUCCCAUUCAGGGAGUAAGUGCACUGGAAGACUACCAGUUUGAUAGGCGGCAGGUGUACGCACAGUAAUGUGUUCAGCUUAGCCGUACUAAUGCACGAGGGCUUAAUUCA